GAGAGUUAAACAGUACGUGAAAUUGUUGAAAGGGAAACGAUUGAAGUCAGUCGUGCUGGCGCGAAAUCAGCUCGACCACUCGGGGAUCAUGGGCCGUAGCGAGCCUCAAAACCGCUACGACUCGUGAUUUCUUAGUGGCCUGGUGCACUUUCGUGUCGGCUGGUUAACAUCAAUUUCGAUCGUCAUAAAAAGGCUGGAGGGAUGUGGCUCCUUCGGGAGUGUUAUAACCUUUAGCGGAAUGUGGUGGUCGGGAUUGAGGCUUGCAACGAAUACCUUCAGGGCUGUUCCACCUGGCCUCUCAUCGGAAUUCUGGCGGCGACAGCUUGCUGACGUUGUUAGGAUCGGCCUUCGAACAGGCUAGAGUGUGAGCAAAUUCGUUAAGGAUGUUAACGUAAUGGCUUUAAACGA
This 408-nucleotide ribosomal RNA is filed under the name uncultured Entrophospora. RNAcentral's name for it is "uncultured Claroideoglomus partial 28S ribosomal RNA". Lineage: Eukaryota; Fungi; Glomeromycota; Glomeromycetes; Entrophosporales; Entrophosporaceae. The record is from RNAcentral.